AAAUGGUGACGUGUGACAUGUGC
Molecule: non-coding RNA, 23 nt
Filed under: Arabidopsis thaliana (thale cress)
Lineage: Eukaryota; Viridiplantae; Streptophyta; Magnoliopsida; Brassicales; Brassicaceae
Source: RNAcentral